RNAcentral lists this ribosomal RNA (720 nucleotides) under uncultured anaerobic ammonium-oxidizing bacterium. RNAcentral describes it as "bacterial SSU rRNA". It matches the Rfam family "Bacterial small subunit ribosomal RNA", at positions 565 to 1274 of the family's 1533-position model. The record is from RNAcentral.
GAGCACGUAGGUGGGUUUGUAAGUCAGAUGUGAAAGCCUUCUGUUCAACGGAAGAAUUGCAUCUGAAACUGCGAGUCUUGAGUGUAGGAGGGGAGAAUGGAACUUCUGGUGGAGCGGUGAAAUGCGUAGAUAUCAGAAGGAACGCCGGCGGCGAAAGCGAUUCUCUGGCCUAUUACUGACACUCAGUGUGCGAAAGCUAGGGGAGCAAACGGGAUUAGAUACCCCGGUAGUCCUAGCCGUAAACGAUGGGCACUAAGUAGAGGGAAUUACCGAUGUUCUCUCUGCCGUAGCUAACGCAUUAAGUGCCCCGCCUGGGGAGUACGGCCGCAAGGCUAAAACUCAAAAGAAUUGACGGGGGCUCGCACAAGCGGUGGAGCAUGUGGCUUAAUUCGAUGCAACGCGAAAAACCUUACCGGGGCUUGACAUGGUAGAAGUAGGAACCCGAAAGGGUAACGAACGGUAUCCAGUCCGUAGCUAUCACAGGUGUUGCAUGGCUGUCGUCAGCUCGUGUCGUGAGACGUUGGGUUAAGUCCCCUAACGAGCGAAACCCUUGUUUUUAGUUACCAGCGGGUUAUGCCGGGUACUCUAGAAAGACUGCCGUCGUCAAGACGGAGGAAGGUGGGGAUGACGUCAAGUCAUCAUGGCCCUUAUGCCCCGGGCUGCACACGUGCUACAAUGGUCGGUACAAACGGAUGCGAAUCCGAGAGGUGAAGCGAAUCC